CAAGGAUCGAAGCUCUGGUUGAAAGAAAAAGGGUAUUAGGAAACCUUUCUCGUUCUCCUACCCUUUAGGUCAAUUGUCCACCACCGCUACUCCAUCGCCCCAUGUUCGAUCACGUGCUUACCGAUAGUAUUAUUGUAUGGCUUCAACCCUAAUUUCAUAUCUUCUAAAUAUGUGAGAACCCAACACCGUGAAAUCCCUUUGAAACCCAUAAACCCCUUUUAAAUCGUUGGUACCGCUCCACCACCCCUAUUUGUCAGUUGCAGCUCCACCGCCCACUCCGCCUCGCUAGGAUGGACUUAGUAAGACAAAGCUCAACAAAACCUACAUACGACGACUGAGGAAGACUGAUGAGGAAGAAGACUGAAACUCACUCUCUUUUACAAUAUUACAGGGAAUGAAAAAAACCGAGGUCUGCCAUUUGUUUCAUCUUUUGUGUUCAUUACAUGAAAAUUCAUGAUUUCUUAAUUCUUAUUAUUCUAUUAUUAUUUUUUAACUUUUGAACCCCAUUAUCCCACAUUGCCACGAUUUCUUUACUUCCCCUCUAAUCGACCCCUUAACCAUUGCACCGAUUACAUCAACAAUUCUUAUUUCAGAAAUUAGAUAUCGUAGUAGACGAAUCUGACAUUUCAAAGAUGCAUUUUUAUUUCUCAGUUGAUUCUUGUUUCUGAAAUCACCUUUGAUUUAUGAAAGUCUGAAGUUUGAGAAUUUGAUAACUGAAAGACAUAAAUCAUCGAACCGCCCACAUCGCCCACAUGGUUUCUUAAUCUAUCUAAGUUUAAAUCUUCUUGAUUGUUAAAUUCUGUUUCUUACUUUGAUGCAAAUUCCGUUCUUUUACAAUGUAACACAAUUUUGAUUUCGUAGACUGUUAAAUUUGAAUUUUUUUUUUCAAAUAUGAUGUCGUCAUCCCAUUAUUCUGAUUUCUGAUGCAUUCCGAUUUCUUAUUCUUAAACAUUUACACUGUCUCAUUCUUAAUUUUAGAUUUAUGAUGAAUACUAAAUUUCCUACACAUUUACUACAACUUCAAGCAGAUUACACUGUCUCAUCUUAUUUUUUACAAUGUUAAUGUCAUUGAUGUGAGUGUUUUUCUAUACCUGGACCAUUUUACCCCUACAUGGCGUUUAUUGUGUGUUGCUUUGUUGGUGCCUUGAGAAUUUCAAAUUUCAUAUAAACUUCAUAUUUUUGGUUAGUUUGCUUCUGGUUGUUGUUUGAUGUUGAGAUUGCUAUUAGGAGUGUGUUCAUAUAUCUUGACCAUUUUACCCUUGGAUUUUUCUGGUGCACUAAUAUAAUCUUUACUUUUGUUUGUAGAAGGUAAAGGCCAUACCUUGAUCCUAGUGUUUUUCGUGAAAGGAUUCUAAGUAGUAUCUUAUUUGAAGGUAAUUUCAACCCACAAACAUAUAACCUCCUUCACCAUUAUGGUUAUUUUAAAGUAUUUUUUUUACUCUUUUAGUAUGUUAUGGUAAAGAUAAACCAUUUUGAUGCAGGUCUUGACAGAUGCAUGCAAUACUUUGUGUUUCACUCUCGAGUGUUCAAAAAAGUAUAGUUACUUCCAUAAAAGAUAAGAAAUGUUGCUUGGCAGUUUGUUUGGAACUUUGCGUUAGUAUGCAUGCUAGUAACUACUCCGUAUGGUGUUUCAGCCCCAAAUUGACAAUAUUACCCUUAUUAUUUUUCUUAGUUUAAAAAGUUGGUGUUUAGAUAUAAUGAUAAUAUUUUAGUAUAUGUUUCCAUCCUUUUAAUUGUACUGUUUCUAGCACAAUGCUGCCAAUUCAUAUUUAAUAUAAUUUAUCUACUUAGUCAUUCAAUUUUUCAUUGUUUUUUUUAAUUGUGUGAUCAGAAGUCAAAAAGGAGCAUUUUAAAUUUAAAUGCUAUUAUUGGUAUUGUAACAUCCGGAUAUCCAUGUAUUAUAUUUAUCUUUUAUUUUUGAGUUUAAAGGGUGGACUCGACGAGUUGACGCAUAGACUCGUCGAGUA
Molecule: long non-coding RNA, 1967 nt
Filed under: Lactuca sativa (garden lettuce)
Lineage: Eukaryota; Viridiplantae; Streptophyta; Magnoliopsida; Asterales; Asteraceae
Description: long non-coding RNA (LSAT_LNC002018)
Source: RNAcentral